CCACGGGGAAGAGGUAGGGGUGGUUGCAGCACUUCUUCAGGUCCAUCAUGAUGUUGAGCAGCGACACCUGGUUCCCUCCGCCCCGCGAGUUCAGCGCCUCGAAGUUGCGCGUCAGGAUGUACUUGUAGUACUUCCUGCGGGGCGGGGGGCUGGCACCCGGCUCGGAGGGGGGGGGCAGCCCCCCUCCCCCAGCUGGUGGGAUCCCCCCUCACCCUGCAGGAGCCCAGGUUUGGGGGCUGGGAUCUCCCCGUGUUGGUGGGAGGCAAGGGAUCGGGGCGCUGGGACCCCCCCACGCACCCCAAGGGCUUUGGGGUCUGGGUGUUUGGGGAGCUGGGACCCCCCCCCCCCAGGGUGGGUGGGAUCUGGUGUUGGGGUGCUGGGACCCCUAAAGGUGGAUUGGACCUGGUAUUGGGGUGCUGAGACCCUCCCCCAAAGCUAGUGGGAUCAGGUAUUGGGGUGCCAAGACCCCCAAGGUGGAUGGCUCUGGGUGUUGAGACCCCCUCUAAGCUGGUUGGGACCUGGUAUUGGGGUUCUGAGACCCCCAGCGUUGGUGGGAUCUGGGAGUUGGGGUGCUGAGACCCCCCCCCCAAUGCUGGUGGGAUCAGGUAUUGGGGUGCUGAGACCCCCCAGGUGGGUAGGAGCUCGUGUCAGGGUGCUGAGACCCUCCCCAAGCCCAAGGUGGGUGGGAUCUGGGAAUUAGGGUGCUGAGACCCUCCCCAAGCCCAGCGGGAUCAGGUAUUGGGGUGCUGGGAUCCCCAAAGCUGGUGUGAUGUGGGAAUUGGGGUGCUGAGACCCCACCCAAGGUGGAUGAGACCUGGUAUUGGGGUGCUGGGACCUGGAAUUGGGGUGCUGAGACCCCCAAAGCCGGUGGGCUCUGGGUGUUGGGGUGCUGAGACCCCCUCUAAAAUGGGUGGGACCUGGUACUGGGGUGCUGAGACCCUCCCCAAGGCCAGUUGGAUCAGGUAUUGGGGUUCUGGGAUCCCCAAAGUUGGUGUGAUCUGGGAAUUGGGGUGCUGAGACCCCCCCCAAGGUGGAUGGGACCUGAAAUUGG
This 1051-nucleotide long non-coding RNA is filed under the name Anas platyrhynchos platyrhynchos (common mallard). RNAcentral describes it as "lncRNA (ENSAPLG00000029129.1)". The record is from RNAcentral. Lineage: Eukaryota; Metazoa; Chordata; Aves; Anseriformes; Anatidae.